UUACCGAGUGCGGGCUGCCUCCGGGCGCCCAACCUCCCACCCGUGACUACCUAACACUGUUGCUUCGGCGGGGAGCCCUCUCGGGGGCGAGCCGCCGGGGACUACUGAACUUCAUGCCUGAGAGUGAUGCAGUCUGAGUCUGAAUAUAAAAUCAGUCAAAACUUUCAACAAUGGAUCUCUUGGUUCCGGCAUCGAUGAAGAACGCAGCGAACUGCGAUAAGUAAUGUGAAUUGCAGAAUUCAGUGAAUCAUCGAGUCUUUGAACGCACAUUGCGCCCCCUGGCAUUCCGGGGGGCAUGCCUGUCCGAGCGUCAUUGCUGCCCAUCAAGCCCGGCUUGUGUGUUGGGUCGUCGUCCCCCCCGGGGGACGGGCCCGAAAGGCAGCGGCGGCACCGUGUCCGGUCCUCGAGCGUAUGGGGCUUUGUCACCCGCUCGAUUAGGGCCGGCCGGGCGCCAGCCGACGUCUCCAACCAUUUUCUUCAGGUUGACCUCGGAUCAGGUAGGGAUACCCGCUGAACUUAAGCAUAUCAAUA
Molecule: ribosomal RNA, 531 nt
Filed under: Aspergillus sp. YNCA1266
Lineage: Eukaryota; Fungi; Ascomycota; Eurotiomycetes; Eurotiales; Aspergillaceae
Description: eukaryotic LSU rRNA
Rfam family: 5.8S ribosomal RNA (bases 160-313)
Source: RNAcentral